Haliotis rubra (blacklip abalone) is the source of this 483-nucleotide long non-coding RNA. RefSeq lists it as uncharacterized. The record is from RefSeq and is a predicted model, not a curated record. NCBI's taxonomy places the organism in Eukaryota, Metazoa, Mollusca, Gastropoda, Lepetellida, Haliotidae. The transcript has 3 exons.
CACAGGCAAAUUCAUGCGUUCCUUUAUCAUUUUCCAGUUUUCGUCACCAGCUUUGAAUAGGGCUGUGGUGAUAAAAAAUGGAAAAUUAUAAAGGAACGCUUGAAUUUUUCUCUGAUCCUUUAUUUGUUUCUCUCAGUAUAUUUUAAUGUUGAUUACUGUGUGAGUUUAUUUCACCGUCACGAUCAGUUAUGUCCCACUAUAUUCAGCUGAAGUUACACAAUCAAUCAAUCAAUCAAUCAAUCAACGUUAUUGCCUGAAGUUUACAAAUAUAUGCAAAACAUUAUGGGGGUGUUUUUUCAGAAAUAUAUCACAUUUGGGACUAUUACUUGAAACAAAUCCAGCAAUUAUCCAGCAAAUAUUGACUGACAUAGAUAUGGUAAUUGCUUUACAUUUUCCUGAUACUAUUCUGAACCAGAAACAACAUGCGCAGUUUGGUUUUAUCAACAAGAGGUGAUCUACCUGUUUCACCAUACAGCAUAUAUG